RNAcentral lists this ribosomal RNA (253 nucleotides) under uncultured bacterium. Its description in RNAcentral is "partial 16S ribosomal RNA". It matches the Rfam family "Bacterial small subunit ribosomal RNA", at positions 524 to 776 of the family's 1533-position model. The record is from RNAcentral.
UACAGAGGUCUCAAGCGUUGUUCGGAUUUAUUGGGCGUAAAGGGCGCGUAGGCGGCGGGGUAAGUCGGGUGUGAAAUCUCAGGGCUCAACCCUGAAACUGCACUUGAUACUGCUCUGCUUGAGGACUGGAGAGGAGACUGGAAUUCACGGUGUAGCAGUGAAAUGCGUAGAUAUCGUGAGGAACACCUGCGGUGUAGACAGCUUUCUGGACCACUUCUGGCGCUGAGACACGAAAGCGUGGGUAGCAAACAGG